UGCCAGCAGCCGCGGUAAUACGGAGGGUGCAAGCGUUAAUCGGAAUUACUGGGCGUAAAGCGCGCGUAGGCGGUCUGGUCAGUCGGAUGUGAAAGCCCCGGGCUUAACCUGGGAAUUGCAUUCGAUACUGCCAAACUAGAAUGUUGGAGAGGGAAGUGGAAUUUCCGGUGUAGCGGUGAAAUGCGUAGAUAUCGGAAGGAACACCAGUGGCGAAGGCGGCUUCCUGGCCAAACAUUGACGCUGAGGUGCGAAAGCGUGGGUAGCGAACAGGAUUAGAUA
Molecule: ribosomal RNA, 279 nt
Filed under: uncultured bacterium
Lineage: Bacteria
Description: partial 16S ribosomal RNA
Rfam family: Bacterial small subunit ribosomal RNA
Source: RNAcentral